GAUGAACGCUAGCGGCAGGCUUAAUACAUGCAAGUCAAGGGGGUAGCAAUACAACCGGCGCACGGGUGAGUAACGCGUACACAACAUGCCAUAUACUGGGGUAUAGCUUUGGGAAACUGAAGGUAAUCCCCCAUAACAUUGCGAGAGGGCAUCUGAUUGCAAUUAAAGUUUCGGCGGUAUAUGAUUGGUGUGCGUUUGAUUAGCUAGUUGGUAGGGUAACGGCCUACCAAGGCGACGAUCAAUAGCUGGCGUGAGAGCGCGACCAGCCACACUGGAACUGAGACACGGUCCAGACUCCUACGGGAGGCAGCAGUAGGGAAUAUUGGACAAUGGAGGAAACUCUGAUCCAGCCAUGCCGCGUGAUAGAUGAAGGCCCUCUGGGUUGUAAAUAUCUUUUAUCUGGGAAGAAACUCCUCUAUUCUUAGAGGCCUGACGGUACCAGAGGAAUAAGCACCGGCUAACUCCGUGCCAGCAGCCGCGGUAAU
This 485-nucleotide ribosomal RNA is filed under the name uncultured bacterium. RNAcentral's name for it is "bacterial SSU rRNA". It matches the Rfam family "Bacterial small subunit ribosomal RNA", at positions 28 to 524 of the family's 1533-position model. The record is from RNAcentral.